CCUACGGGUGGCAGCAGUGGGGAAUAUUGCACAAUGGGGGAAACCCUGAUGCAGCGACGCCGCGUGAGUGAAGAAGUAUUUCGGUAUGUAAAGCUCUAUCAGCAGGGAAGAAAAUGACGGUACCUGUUUAAGAAGCCCCGGCUAAAUACGUGCCAGCAGCAGAGGUAAUACGUAGGGGGCAAGCGUUAUCCCGAUUUACUGGGUGUAAAGGGAGCGUAGACGGCAGCACAAGUCUGGAGUGAAAUGCCGGGGCUUAACCCCGGCACUGCUUUGGAAACUGUGCAGCUAGAGUGCAGGAGAGGUAAGUGGAAUUCCUGGUGGAGCGGUGAAAUGCGUAGAUAUUAGGAGGAACACCAGUGGCGAAGGCGGCUUACUGGACUGUAACUGACGUUGAGGCUCGAAAGCGUGGGGAGCGAACAGGAUUAGAUACCCCAGUAGUC
This 440-nucleotide ribosomal RNA is filed under the name uncultured bacterium. Its description in RNAcentral is "partial 16S ribosomal RNA". It matches the Rfam family "Bacterial small subunit ribosomal RNA", at positions 338 to 795 of the family's 1533-position model. The record is from RNAcentral.